Solenopsis invicta (red fire ant) is the source of this 252-nucleotide long non-coding RNA. RefSeq lists it as uncharacterized. The record is from RefSeq and is a predicted model, not a curated record. The transcript has 4 exons. NCBI's taxonomy places the organism in Eukaryota, Metazoa, Arthropoda, Insecta, Hymenoptera, Formicidae.
GUGUUAUUGUGGUCGGCACACCUUCUCUCAAGUCAAUGGGUGGAGAGCUUUCCGGGGUGGGCUCGUCGAUACCCGAUCUCGUGGGCUGAAUUCUUCAAUGACUCGGUCUUACGUCACAAGGACAACCUAGGAAUAGUCACGUGCAAGGGCUGAUUACUAGGUCGACCGUCAAGAGCCGUCAAAUGCAUUUGCAAGGAAGGGGCCUGCAUCGAGGCCAGGCUUUGGGUUGGACAUCAUAGAUCGGAAAAGCGG